AAAUGAAAGAUCUGACAAUAGGCUAGGGUAAGGUGUUUUGUGAGGUAUAGGUAUGAUCAGGCCAACAGAUCAGGAGAUGACUGCCAUUAAAAGAUAGUUUGUUAGUCAUAGUUCUCAAGAGGAAGUGCAUACCAUGCCACCCAUGGCCCGCGGAGAAGCACCAGAAUCAGAUUGCGUCCAACUCAAAUGACUGGGUCAUCUCAUGAGCGGACAAAACCGAGCAUAUACCCAAAUGGGCAUCAGCGGACUGGAUGAGCAAAAUGUGGUUUAUCUAUACGAUGGAAUAUUAUUCUUCAAUAAAAAGGAAUGAAGUACUGGAAGAUGCUACACCCUGGAUGAACCUUGAAAACGUACUACAUGAAAGAAGCCAGGGCUCCACCUAAGACACAGGGAUGAAUCCACAGAGCGAGUAGCGAGAGAGCUCAGCUCGGGGCUCGUGAUCAACCCUGCGGAAGGGCCUCUGGUGGGAAGCCCUAUAGAGGUGGUGUCCUCGUAACCCCUAUUUAUACGUAUCAAGCAAUCAAAACGUAAGCAAGGUAAGUACUGGGGGGCGGGGGGGUCAAGAUUCACGUCCAGCCCAAGUGCCCUCAUCCUUAAUGGCGGUGCCCUGCUGCUGGCAAAGGAUGCAGAACUGACACCAGGAACAGAGAAGCUAGAAUUUUCUUUCCCUCAUGAAUCCUCCCACCAGGCCUUCAGGUAAGCACCUCAGCUUUGCAAGCCAUUCAUUUUGGAAGAGAAGCUAAAAGGUAAGUGUGAGCUUACUAGGGCUGCCAAAAGUACCACACUGGGAGGCUUAAACAAGAGAAACAUACGGUCUCACAGGUCUGGAGGCAGAGGUCCAAGGUCAAGGUGUGGCCAGGGUUGGUUCCUUCUGCUGGUUGGGAGGGAGAGUCUCUUCCAUGUCUCUUGCCUAGCUUCAGGCAGUUUGCCUACUGUCUUUGGUGUUCUCUUGUGGAUAGACACACACCACACACCCCGAUCUCUGCCUUCAUGUUCCCGUGGUGUUCUUGCAGUGUGCGUGUCUCCAGAUUUCCCCUUUUCAUAAGAACGCAAUCAUCUUGGAAUGGAGGCCAUACUCCAGUAUGACUUCAUCUUAAGUAAUCACAUCUGCAAUGACCCUAAUUCCAAAUAAGGUCAUGUUCUGAGGUAGAGGGGAUUCACUACAUGAACGGCUUGGAGAUGGGUGGGGAGAUGAGGACGAUUCAACCCGUAGCAGGAAGCAAACAUCUUCCUGGAACUAACUCCAAAUGCCUAGAUCCUAAAGAUGUCAAAAAUACAUCCCUGGGCAGGGCCAACCUGCCACACUAGACACACUAGGUAAGAAGGUCCACUUGUCUCCAGGACUUGAGAAACCAUCACCUAUGAUGUAGAAUCAACUAGGAAAAGGGAGGGGGAGGUUAAGGGAAUUCUUAUAAGGAGAGUUCUUUUUUUCCCCUCACACUUGGCUUCAACUUUAAUCAUACUAUUCCAGAUAUCUGUGCCAUCCAAUUAUAACAUAGAAAUGCAGCAAAUCAGGGGAAAGUGGGCUUUUGGUACCUGCCACUAACCAGCAUGUGAAACUCUCCCCCUUGAAUAGCAUUUGAAUAAAAGCUGAGCUCCUUUGGGGGUGGAGGCAAGGUUGAAUUAGAGAAGAUGUAAAGAUUUCUCUGAACAAAGCUCUAAGAAGUAAAGCAAAGAGAACUGAUGUUCUGUAUCAAACUGCCUGGGAAAGACGUAGUAAUCUAUUGAUUUCAUUAUUAGAGGUUUCCCACAUCGUGCCACCACUCAGUGUGGGAUGGGCCAAGUGUAGAAAACCACAAAAUCUGAAUCCUACCAGAAGUGCCUCUGGUGAGGGCUGAGAAGAGCAACUUUUCUCUGGGUACUUCUUUUUUUAGGCAGCACCCUAAUUAAUUGGAGAGAGAACAGUGUGGACAUUCUUGAGAAGGCCAAUUCCCAACCAAUGCAGAAUUCAGUUUGGUUGAAUGUCUAUCACACAGGGGAAGAUUCAGAGACUCGGGUUCCAGCCUUUGCUGUGAAGACCCCUUCUUCCCUUUACUUGCUGUGUAUUGCACUCCUGGGCACGUCGGGUGUUGUGAAAACAGUGGGUGAGGAAGUCAGAUUCACCCAGCAGCUCCUCUCAUGGAGCCCUGCAGCCUGCAACCAGUACCUUUCCUCGCGUGUAAGUGUUGGUCAGUGAUGGGAAAAUAGACAAUUGAAUCUUCCUGAGGAUUUCAGUUCACCGAACAUCCAUCUGGUCUGCAGCUUGGGUCCAGACAGUAUGUUCAGGGCUAGAAGGCUAUAGAGCAAGGGAGGGGAACGAGACAUGGGGUGAGCUGGAUGGGACCCCUGCGUUGGAGCCCCAGAAACAGGGAGGGGAAGGCAGACAUGCCGCUGACUGAGAUGGGUGCUCAACAGGAACCAAGCAAAGGAGGGACCUAUUCUUAGUGCUGAGGGAAAGUAGAAGGUUCACAGUAGCCAGGGGCACCCCUUAUGCUGGGCUCUGAAGGUAGAGAUGCUUCCUUAGGUAAAAACCUGAUGAAAGACAGGCCAGGGUCAAGAUGCAGUGUGAGCAAAGGUCCUGGGCAUGAACACGCUGUCCUGGCAAGAAAGGCAUGUAGCAAACGUAGCAGUCCUCAGUAACGUGGCUCCUGUCUCCCAGCCCCUUCAUCCUGUCCUAGGGACCCAAACACGCAGCUCAGAAGACAGUCAGGAGACAGCAGGCUCCAAGAGCCAUCAGAGUAAUUCAGGACACAUAAAAUGCAUCUGUGUCUGUGGGUCAAAUCCAGACCCUACCCAUCCUGGUUCAAGUUGAAAGGACACAGAAGUUCCAAGGGGAUGAGUGACUCGCACGAGGCCACCUGGUCGUGAUCUCAUAGGCUGUGGGUUCGAGCUUCGUGUCAGGUCUGCACUGGGCACCGAGUCUGCUGAUCCCUCUCCCUCUGCCCCUCCCCACCCAUCCCACCCCACUCCACCCCAUCCCACCUGCCCCCCAUUCAUGCUCACACUCUCUCUCUCUCA
Long non-coding RNA from Canis lupus familiaris (dog), 2997 nucleotides. RefSeq lists it as uncharacterized. The transcript has 6 exons. Lineage: Eukaryota; Metazoa; Chordata; Mammalia; Carnivora; Canidae. The record is from RefSeq and is a predicted model, not a curated record.